GUGGCAGUUUUUCCUUUCUCUGAUUACAAACCAGCAUUCUGGAACCAUCCGGUUGAAGUCACAGAGCCCUGAGUGGUGGGGUGAUGUGGAGGUUACCUCCCGCCGCUGCGCACCUUACAAGGCGGGGUCUGUUUUCUGUUCACUAGCCCAGUGCCUCAGACUCACAUCCAUGGAGGGCUCGCUCAAAUCGACUCCCGGGUCCCACCUCCAGUUGCUUGUUCAGAUCUGAGGUAUCUGAGAGCAGGGCUUGUCCAGCGAGGAGAUUAGAAAAGGAUACGAGCUCAUUCCCAUACGGUAAAGCCAGAGAAAGCCUUGCUGUGAAGAGAACAAACAGAACCUGUUUGGUGGCUUGUCAUUUCAAUGACAACACGAACCUUUCACAGCGUACUUCACAACAAGGGAGACUAAGAGACCCCACAGAUGAAGAAGCUUCUACCAGAGGAGCAGAACCAGCCUUGCUGAGAAGUCCCGACAGGCCCAACACCACAGGAGCAGGAAUUUGAGACACGUGUGCUCAUUUCCUGUUUAUUCUCUCAUACCUCCUGCGCUUAUCUCUCAUUAUUUACUAGUUACGUCCUUCUCUGGAGAGGUCUAGUAUAUCAGUUGAGCAGAGAGAAGGAGGUCAGGGCCACAACUGAUCUACAGUCUUAGUAAAUCUCCAUCU
This is a long non-coding RNA of Neofelis nebulosa (Clouded leopard), 664 nucleotides long. RefSeq lists it as uncharacterized. The record is from RefSeq and is a predicted model, not a curated record. The transcript is spliced from 4 exons. NCBI's taxonomy places the organism in Eukaryota, Metazoa, Chordata, Mammalia, Carnivora, Felidae.